AUACCCUAUUAUACUAGAUGUUAAUUUUUAAACUUGGGUAGUAAUAGUUAUGUUCUUGAAACCCAAAGAAUUUGGCGGUAUUUUAGUCUUUUCAGAGGAACCUGUUGUGUAAUCGAUAGUCCACGAUUUUAUUCACUUUCAUUUGUUUUCAGUUUUUAUACCUCCGUCAUAAGAAUAUUUUUUUAGAAUAAAUUUUCUUAAUUGUUAAAUACUUAUAUGUCAGGUCAAGGUGAAGCUUAUAUGUAAGUAUUAAUGGGUUACAAUAAAUUUAUUUAUAUGGAUUUUUAAGUUUAUAUUUAAAUUGAAAGUGGAUUUGUUAGUAAAGGUUAUUAAUUAAUUUUCUUGAUUUUAGCUCUAAAAUAUGU
Molecule: ribosomal RNA, 365 nt
Filed under: Nesobasis malcolmi
Lineage: Eukaryota; Metazoa; Arthropoda; Insecta; Odonata; Coenagrionidae
Description: partial 12S ribosomal RNA
Source: RNAcentral